GAUGAACGCUGGCGGCGUGCCUAACACAUGCAAGUCGAGCGAACAGACGAGGAGCUUGGCCUUCUGACGUCAGCGGCGCACGCGUGAGUAACACGCGGAUAACCCACCUACUACACUGGGAUAACUCCGGGAAACAGGAGCUAAAACCGCACAAUAUAUUGAACCGCAGGGUCCAAGAGAGAAAGACGGUGGUGCCGACACUUAAACAUGGACCGGCGCUGCAUUAGCUGGUUGGUAAGGUAACGGCUUACCAAGGCGACGAUGGGUAGCCGACCGGGAAGGGUGAUGGGCCACAUUGGAACUGGGACACGCUCCGGACUCCUCCGGGGGGCGCCAGUGGGGAACCUUCGGCAUUGGGCGAAGGCCUGACGGGGCACCGCCGCGUGAGGAAUGAGGGUCUCCGGUUCUUAAAACUCUUUUAUUAGGGAAAAACAAAUUUUUGCGUAACUAUGCACGUCUUGACGGUACCUGAUCAGAAAGCCACGGCUAACUACGUG
This 497-nucleotide ribosomal RNA is filed under the name uncultured bacterium. RNAcentral's name for it is "partial 16S ribosomal RNA". It matches the Rfam family "Bacterial small subunit ribosomal RNA", at positions 28 to 507 of the family's 1533-position model. The record is from RNAcentral.